ACUCCUACGGGAGGCAGCAGUGGGGAAUAUUGCACAAUGGGCGCAAGCCUGAUGCAGCCAUGCCGCGUGUAUGAAGAAGGCCUUCGGGUUGUAAAGUACUUUCAGCAGUGAGGAAGGUGGAUAUGUUAAUAGCAUAUUCUAUUUGUACGUUAGCUGCAGAAGAAGCACCGGCUAACUCCGUGCCAGCAGCCGCGGUAAGUACGGAGGGUGCGAGCGUUAAUCGGAAUUACGUGGGCGUAAAGCGCAUGCAGGUGGUUUGUUAAGUCAGAUGUGAAAGCCCGGGGCUCAACCUCGGAAUUGCAUUUGAAACUGGCAAACUAGAGUACUGGUAGAGGGGGUAGAAUUUCG
This 348-nucleotide ribosomal RNA is filed under the name uncultured bacterium. Its description in RNAcentral is "bacterial SSU rRNA". It matches the Rfam family "Bacterial small subunit ribosomal RNA", at positions 335 to 671 of the family's 1533-position model. The record is from RNAcentral.